RNAcentral lists this ribosomal RNA (253 nucleotides) under uncultured bacterium. Its description in RNAcentral is "partial 16S ribosomal RNA". It matches the Rfam family "Bacterial small subunit ribosomal RNA", at positions 524 to 776 of the family's 1533-position model. The record is from RNAcentral.
UACGUAGGUGGCAAGCGUUGUCCGGAUUUACUGGGCGUAAAGGGCGUGCAGGCGGUCUGUUAAGUGCAGGGUGAAAGCUCCCGGCUCAACUGGGAGAGGUCCUUGCAUACUGGCGGGCUUGAGGGGGGUAGAGGAGAGUGGAAUUCCCGGUGUAGUGGUGAUAUGCGUAGAUAUCGGGAGGAACACCUGUGGCGAAGGCGGCUUUCUGGGCCCUUACUGACGCUGAGACGCGAAAGCGUGGGGAGCAAACAGG